GAGAGAGUUUAGUUUUAGCUUAUAUAUGAUGUCUUAUCUCCCAAAAAUUCUUUUAUCUUGCACAAAAGCUCAAAUUAUAAUAAAAUCCUUCAAAAUAUUUUCUUUCCGCAAAAGUUGUUUUUAUCCUAAACUUUGGAAAUUCAUAUCUCUUGUACCAACCGUUGAAUUUUUUAAAAAUUUCUAUUUAAUAUAGAUUCUAUCCUUAAGCUUUACUACAAAACAAAUGAACCAUAAAUCUAUAAUCGAUCUUCUAGCAUCUUUGAAAUCCUAGCAAGUACUCUAAAUUCUAAUCUACAAGUAUCUAAAAACUAUUUUCUUUAUAUCUCAAAAAUCCAAAAUCUAAAUGUCACAAAAUUUAUACAUAAAGUUAGUAAUAUGAUUACACACACUUUAUAAUAAAUUUAGCCAAAAUCUUAUCAAAUUGCUCAAGAUGUAGCUCAAAAUACAACCACUAGUAAAUCAUAUCACUUACUACCUUAAGAUUUGAAAUGCUGACUUCAACUUCUAAUAUCUUCUUUAUUCUUAUUUUGACUUUGUCCCAUCUUCUUUUUUCCUACUAUUCUUUACAUUCAUCUUUUCUUCCUAUCUUUUCUUAGGAAGUGGUGUAUUACUUGGAUGUGAAGAAAAAGGCUCUAUUUCUUGUCUUUACCUUGUAAGGCUUGCUAGUCCUUGUUUUAGUGAAGGAUCUUUGAUAAUAGGUGACCAUUUUUUUUUUUUGGCCUUUCUACUUCUUCUCUCUUAUCA
RNAcentral lists this long non-coding RNA (744 nucleotides) under Physcomitrium patens. RNAcentral describes it as "long non-coding RNA (PPAT_LNC012752)". Lineage: Eukaryota; Viridiplantae; Streptophyta; Bryopsida; Funariales; Funariaceae. The record is from RNAcentral.